AUAUUAGACGAAAUUGGGAACGGGCCCCAAUAAUAGUUAUUAGAUUCUCUUAGAGAAUAUAUAACGUCAAUGGUUCGUCGUGUACGAUCCUCUGCGAGUUGUUUAUCUUCACAGCAGAUUACGUAAGUAAGAGUUUGGAGCAUUUGUAAAAUGGGCCAACAUUUUGUUAGUAUU
This 174-nucleotide non-coding RNA is filed under the name unclassified sequences. RNAcentral's name for it is "OTKONC RNA". It matches the Rfam family "OTKONC RNA". The record is from Rfam by way of RNAcentral.